This 254-nucleotide ribosomal RNA is filed under the name uncultured bacterium. RNAcentral's name for it is "partial 16S ribosomal RNA". It matches the Rfam family "Bacterial small subunit ribosomal RNA", at positions 524 to 776 of the family's 1533-position model. The record is from RNAcentral.
UACGUAGGGGGCAAGCGUUGUCCGGAAUCAUUGGGCGUAAAGAGCGUGUAGGCGGCUUGGUAAGUCCGCUGUGAAAGUCCAGGGCUCAACCCUGGAAUGCCGGUGGAAACUGUCAAGCUUGAGUCCGGAAGAGGCGAGUGGAAUUCCUGGUGUAGCGGUGAAAUGACGCAGAUAUCAGGAGGAACACCAAUGGCGAAGGCAGCUCGCUGGGACGGUACUGACGCUGAGACGCGAAAGCGUGGGGAGCAAACAGG